This 73-nucleotide transfer RNA is filed under the name Anaerolinea sp. RNAcentral's name for it is "tRNA-Thr". It matches the Rfam family "tRNA". From Rfam's summary of the family: Transfer RNA (tRNA) molecules are approximately 80 nucleotides in length. Their secondary structure includes four short double-helical elements and three loops (D, anti-codon, and T loops). The record is from RNAcentral. Lineage: Bacteria; Bacillati; Chloroflexota; Anaerolineae; Anaerolineales; Anaerolineaceae.
GCCGACAUAGCUCAAUUGGCAGAGCAGUUGCUUUGUAAGCAUCAGGUUGAGGGUUCAAUUCCCCCUGUCGGCU